AGCUAGGACUGAACCUAAGGGAUGAAUUACAUUGAGUCUCAUGAAGAAAUGUGUCAGGCAUUGAGCAUGUUUCCUGGUAUGGAGAAUCAGGAGACCUCUACAGUUUAUCUACUGUCUACUUGAAAAAUGACAACAGUAUCUUACUGUAGCUUCCAGUGCAAACUUAGAGUGACGCACAACAGAAGACAAAACAGAUGAUAAAGAUGCUAAAUAACGAAGGGAUGCCGGAGAAGGAAAAAGCUUACCUUGCUCAUCCAGCAAGCAAGUGGCAGAAUCCCAUGCCAGGCUGGUGUGAUCUGACUGGAACAGAGGGGAUUUUUUCUGGAAGGAAAGCGAAAAGGUACUUAAACUUCAUGAAGAGGUUUGAGUCAGUCAUUGGGGAUCAGUACUGCCAUACACCCCUUAAAAGGAAAGAUGAAGGAUGUCUUAGUCUGACACCGCGGACUGAAAAUGGAAGCUCAUUUAUAUUGGACCACAAGGCUAAUGCAUGCCAACAUACUUAACAUUUGUCUAUUUAUCUAUUUGUUUAUUCAAAUAUUCGGCGGUUAGGUUGGGAAGAAUAUUACAUUUUUUUUUAAAUACACAUUUGUAAAAAUGAAUCAAGCAUCGUCAUAAACAAUUUCCCUUCUUUAACCAGAUGUUUUAUUUGGAAAUGCUACUUUAUUUUGUAUUGCAUUAUAUAAAAGCACGCCCACAUAUAUUAAAUAUUUCUUUCAAUGUAAA
This is a long non-coding RNA of Xenopus laevis (African clawed frog), 723 nucleotides long. RefSeq lists it as uncharacterized. The transcript has 4 exons. NCBI's taxonomy places the organism in Eukaryota, Metazoa, Chordata, Amphibia, Anura, Pipidae. The record is from RefSeq and is a predicted model, not a curated record.